This is a small nucleolar RNA of Ursus maritimus (polar bear), 77 nucleotides long. Ensembl annotates it as small nucleolar RNA, C/D box 112. The record is from Ensembl. NCBI's taxonomy places the organism in Eukaryota, Metazoa, Chordata, Mammalia, Carnivora, Ursidae.
UGGACCAAUGAUGGCAAAGUGUUUAUGAACAAAGGAUCAUGAUGAAUCCAGUUCUGUGCAAAAUACUGAGGUCCAUU